GACGAACGCUGGCGGCGUGCUUAACACAUGCAAGUCGAACGGAAAGGCCCUGCUUGCAGGGUGCUCGAGUGGCGAACGGGUGAGUAACACGUGGGUGAUCUGCCCCUUACUUUGGGAUAAGCCUGGGAAACUGGGUCUAAUACUGGAUAGGACCAUGCUGUAGGUGGUGUGGUGGAAAGAUUAGUUUCGGUAAGGGAUGAGCUCGCGGCCUAUCAGCUUGUUGGUGGGGUAAUGGCCUACCAAGGCGUCGACGGGUAGCCGGCCUGAGAGGGUGGACGGCCACAUUGGGACUGAGAUACGGCCCAGACUCCUACGGGAGGCAGCAGUGGGGAAUAUUGUACAAUGGGCGCAAGCCUGAUGCAGCGACGCCGCGUGGGGGAUGACGGCCUUCGGGUUGUAAACUCCUUUCAGCCAUGACGAAGCCCUUGUGGUGACGGUAGUGGUAGAAGAAGCACCGGCUAACUACGUG
Molecule: ribosomal RNA, 469 nt
Filed under: uncultured bacterium
Lineage: Bacteria
Description: partial 16S ribosomal RNA
Rfam family: Bacterial small subunit ribosomal RNA
Source: RNAcentral